CGGUUAAGUUAGAAAGGGCGCACGGUGGAUGCCUUGGCACUAGGAGCCGAUGAAGGACGGGACAAACACCGAAAUGCUUCGGGGAGCUGUAAGUAAGCGUCGAUCCGGAGAUGUCCGAAUGGGGGAACCCACUGUCCGUAAUGGGGCAGUAUCCAUACCUGAAUCCAUAGGGUAUGGAGGGCA
Molecule: ribosomal RNA, 183 nt
Filed under: Aeribacillus pallidus
Lineage: Bacteria; Bacillati; Bacillota; Bacilli; Caryophanales; Bacillaceae
Description: partial 23S ribosomal RNA
Rfam family: Bacterial large subunit ribosomal RNA
Source: RNAcentral